AUGCAAGUCGAACGGGAAAUUUGUAUAGAGAGCUUGCUCAAAGUACUUAUUUCUAGUGGCGAACGGGUGAGUAACACGUGGGUAACCUGCCUUUCAGUUGGGGAUAACUAGAGGAAACUUUAGCUAAUACCGAAUAACUGUUAAGACGGCAUCGUCUAAACAUAAAAGGGGCUUUUGCCCCGCUGAUAGAUGGACUCGCGACGCAUUAGGUAGUUGGUGAGAUAACAGCUCACCAAGCCAAGGAUGCGUAGCCGACCUGAGAGGGUGAUCGGCCACAAUGGGACUGAGACACGGCCCAUACUCCUACGGGAGGCAGCAGUAGGGAGUUUUCGGCAAUGGGGGGAACCCUGACCGAGCAACGCCGCGUGAACGAAGAGGGUCUUCGGAUUGUAAAGUUCUGUUGUAGGGGAAUAAAAGUCGGAAGAAGAGAAUGUUUCCGAUUUGAAGGUACCCUGCCAGAAAGCCACGGCUAACUACGUGCCAGCAGCCGCGGUAAUACGUAGGUGGCAAGCGUUAUCCGGAAUUAUUGGGCGUAAAGAGUGAGCAGGCGGCCUNUUAAGUCUGAAGUCAAAUGCAGUGGCUCAACCACUGUCCGCUUUGGAAACUGAGAGGCUAGAGUACGAGAGAGGUAUAUGGAAUUCCAUGUGGAGCGGUGAAAUGCGUAGAUAUAUGGAGGAACACCAGUGGCGAAGGCGAUAUACUGGAUCGAUACUGACGCUCAGUCACGAAAGCGUGGGUAGCAAAUAGGAUUAGAUACCCUAGUAGUCCACGCAGUAAACGAUGAUUACUAGCUGUUUGCGAUACAUUGUAAGCGGCUGAGCGAAAGCGUUAAGUAAUCCACCUGGGGAGUACGUUCGCAAGGAUGAAACUCAAAGGAAUUGACGGGGGCCCGCACAAGCGGAGGAACAUGUGGUUUAAUUCGAUGAUACGCGAGGAACCUUACCCGGGCUUGAAAUGCAUCCGAUGUAUCCGGAAACGGAUAUUCCCUUCGGGGCGGAUGUGUAGGUGCUGCAUGGUUGUCGUCAGCUCGUGCCGUGAGGUGUCGGCUUAAGUGCCAUAACGAGCGCAACCCUUGUCGUCAGUUGCCAUCGGGUCAAGCCGGGGACUCUGACGAGACUGCCAUCGUAAGAUGCGAGGAAGGUGGGGAUGACGUCAAAUCAGCACGGCCCUUAUGUCCGGGGCGACACACGUGUUACAAUGGGCGGUACAACGGGAAGCUACCUGGCGACAGGAUGCUGAUCUUUAAAUCCGCUCACAGUUCGGAUCGGAGUCUGCAACUCGACUCCGUGAAGUCGGAUUCGCUAGUAAUCGCGCAUCAG
Molecule: ribosomal RNA, 1319 nt
Filed under: uncultured bacterium
Lineage: Bacteria
Description: partial 16S ribosomal RNA
Rfam family: Bacterial small subunit ribosomal RNA
Source: RNAcentral